AACGCAUCUUGCGCCCUUUGGUAUUCCUUAGGGCAUGCCUGUUUGAGUGUCACGAAUACACUUUGUGCCUCGUGUUUUGUCAUGAAACACGUUUGGGUGCAGUCUUGGAAGAUGUCAGGGGCAACCUUGACUCGUCCUAAAUGUAUUAGCUGGAUUGUUGGUCCACAUGGGUUGGUGCUUGCUCUUCUGGAGCGGUGCAGCCGUCAGCGUGAUAAGUAUCUUGCUGGUGGUUGUGCUGCAAAGGUUGUGCGUGAAGAGUGCCUUCUCGGACUGGCGUCUGCUUCUAAUCGAGGGUAGUGGAGUGGUUUUGCGACCGCCUCACCUACCGCAACUCUAUUAACUGACCUCAGACAGGUAGGACUACCCGCUGAACUUAA
RNAcentral lists this unclassified non-coding RNA (377 nucleotides) under Urocystis sp. (in: smut fungi & allies). RNAcentral describes it as "Urocystis sp. (in: basidiomycete fungi) partial contains 5.8S ribosomal RNA, internal transcribed spacer 2, and large subunit ribosomal RNA". The record is from RNAcentral. RNAcentral also lists the same sequence under 1 other name. Lineage: Eukaryota; Fungi; Basidiomycota; Ustilaginomycetes; Urocystidales; Urocystidaceae.